This is a long non-coding RNA of Hyla sarda, 355 nucleotides long. RefSeq lists it as uncharacterized. NCBI's taxonomy places the organism in Eukaryota, Metazoa, Chordata, Amphibia, Anura, Hylidae. The transcript is spliced from 3 exons. The record is from RefSeq and is a predicted model, not a curated record.
GGACCCAGCAGAGAACAGCAGCGUUGACGUCACUAAGUUCCGCCCAUGCUCCAUGUCGGGCCCAGAGCUGAAGAUACCGAAGAGGAUUGUCGGAGAAUGACAGCAUGAAACGGGAUAAGAUGUUAAAGAACCUCCUGAGAUUAGCUUAUUGGACAUGGAUCAUUAAGAGGACGUCAGCUCCUUCCAUAAGGACAUUCAGCAUUCCGGAUGAACCAUUGUUAGAGUACAAAAUGGUCCUAGGGUUGAUCCAUCACUGCCGUCCUCCUAACCACAAAAGUCGGAGAAAAUUAGGUUCUGAUACUAAAGAAUAAAGUGGAAACUCCAGACUGCAAAUCACGGAAAUGGGCAAAGUCUG